AGUUGGAGUCUGAAGGAAACUCUGUCUGACCUAAAAUGGCCUCAGCUGCUGAAGUCUUCCAUGCUCCUCUCCUCCCACACAGAACCAGGUUUAAAGCUGCUCUGAUGUCUUCAGACUCUGUUCUGAUAGUCUCUUCACUGAAGGAUUCACUAACAGCAGGAGAACAUUUGGUCCAGGGAGACAAAGACUGAUGCUUCUCUUCAUCUCUUCUCUGACAGCUUCCUCAGACAAACUGAAGAUGUUUGGAGUUUUAACUACAGUUAGAGGAUUUCCUCUCCACUCUCCACAUGUGGCCACACACCUCUUGGUCUUUUGGUAAGAAGCUUGUUCCCCAGUGAUGAAGUUACCAAGUCUUGUCUGAUCAUCUUGACUUUUUCCCAGCAGCACAAUCCUGGUUCCAGAUGCUGUAAUACAACAGAGAGGAAGAUAAAAUGACUCAAAUACUGUGAGACUGAAAACAUGUUUUACAUAAGGAGAUCAUCUACAGUCAUCUACAGGCUUGACAAAUGUUGAGGUUCAAUUCAUAGUGUCAACAUUCUGUUAUUCCCAACCAAACUAUGUUCAUAUACUGUUUAACAUAACAAAUUACAUUUUAGAGAAGAUGUGAUGGCAACUGAAAUUGUUUUUUGGCAGCAUUCAGAGACAUUACAGGAAAUACUCAAUUUGUACAUUUGUACAUGCAAAGUAGCCAAAUGAAUGUAACAGACACUAAAGAGACUAAAGACUAAAUACUAGAUACUAAUAUGAAAUGAUUUCAGAUUCUUUUUUUUUUUCUUCUUUUUUUUAAAUUGUAUUAUUUUAAGUGGUAAAAGAACUGUGAAACAUGUUUAGGUUGAUGUUUGAGAAAAGAAGACUGACUGACAACAUCACGCAUCUCUGAGAAACAUUUAAAUAUUUUAUCCCAGGUAAUAAAUAUUUUCACCCUUGAACGAAGAUAUUUGUACUAUUUGUGUAAAUUAUAUUGAUUCCUUUCUUUACCUGGAUCAGAGUGAAGGUGACUUAAUUCCCCUUAUUGAAUCCACACAUCCUUUUUAAAACUCAUAUAUUCUGUCUGUGUGGUGGGAGACUAGCAGUCAUCUACAGGUAUUAUUUCAACUGCUCCUCUGUAUCUUUUGGUGACUAAAUAUCUGUUAUUUUAUUUCCCUGUGUUACACUGUCAGCUGUUUAUAUUUGUGACUAACACUGCAAUUACUUUUACAUUUUGUGGCUCAUUGUUUAUAUGUUGCAUGUAAAGCACUUUGUGAAUCUGUUUUUAAGGCGCUAUAUGAAUAUACUUAAACUUAUUA
Molecule: long non-coding RNA, 1286 nt
Organism: Acanthopagrus latus (yellowfin seabream)
Lineage: Eukaryota; Metazoa; Chordata; Actinopteri; Spariformes; Sparidae
Exons: 2
Source: RefSeq, a predicted model, not a curated record